ACUAAGCGUACACGGUGGAUGCCCUGGCAGUCAGAGGCGAUGAAGGACGUGCUAAUCUGCGAAAAGCGCCGGCGAGGUGAUAUGAACCCUUGACCCGGCGAUGUCCGAAUGGGGAAACCCAGUGCAAUCCGUUGCACUAUCGUUAACUGAAUACAUAGGUUAACGAGGCGAACCGGGGGAACUGAAACAUCUAAGUACCCCGAGGAAAAGAAAUCAACCGAGAUUCCCCCAGUAGCGGCGAGCGAACGGGGAGCAGCCCGGAGUCUGAAUCAGCUUGUGUGUUAGUGGAACGGUCUGGAAAGUCCGACGGUACAGGGUGAUAGUCCCGUACACGAAAGCACACUUGCUGUGAACUCGAAGAGUAGGGCGGGACACGUGGUAUCCUGUCUGAAUAUGGGGGGACCAUCCUCCAAGGCUAAAUACUCCUGACUGACCGAUAGUGAACCAGUACCGUGAGGGAAAGGCGAAAAGAACCCCGGCGAGGGGAGUGAAAAAGAACCUGAAACCGUGUACGUACAAGCAGUGGGAGCCUCUUUAUGGGGUGACUGCGUACCUUUUGUAUAAUGGGUCAGCGACUUAUAUUCUGUAGCAAGGUUAACCGUAUAGGGGAGCCGAAGGGAAACCGAGUCUUAACUGGGCGUUAAGUUGCAGGGUAUAGACCCGAAACCCGGUGAUCUAGCCAUGGGCAGGUUGAAGGUUGGGUAACACUAACUGGAGGACCGAACCGACUAAUGUUGAAAAAUUAGCGGAUGACCUGUGGCUGGGGGUGAAAGGCCAAUCAAACCGGGAGAUAGCUGGUUCUCCCCGAAAGCUAUUUAGGUAGCGCCUCGUGAACUCAUCUUCGGGGGUAGAGCACUGUUUCGGCUAGGGGGCCAUCCCGGCUUACCAACCCGAUGCAAACUACGAAUACCGAAGAAUGUUAUCACGGGAGACACACGGCGGGUGCUAACGUCCGUCGUGAAGAGGGAAACAACCCAGACCGCCAGCUAAGGUCCCAAAGUCAUGGUUAAGUGGGAAACGAUGUGGGAAGGCACAGACAGCCAGGAUGUUGGCUUAGAAGCAGCCAUCAUUUAAAGAAAGCGUAAUAGCUCACUGGUCGAGUCGGCCUGCGCGGAAGAUGUAACGGGGCUAAACCAUGCACCGAAGCUGCGGCAGCGACACUUAUGUGUUGUUGGGUAGGGGAGCGUUCUGUAAGCCGUUGAAGGUGGCCUGUGAGGGUUGCUGGAGGUAUCAGAAGUGCGAAUGCUGACAUAAGUAACGAUAAAGCGGGUGAAAAGCCCGCUCGCCGGAAGACCAAGGGUUCCUGUCCAACGUUAAUCGGGGCAGGGUGAGUCGACCCCUAAGGCGAGGCCGAAAGGCGUAGUCGAUGGGAAACAGGUUAAUAUUCCUGUACUUGGUGUUACUGCGAAGGGGGGACGGAGAAGGCUAUGUCAGCCGGGCGACGGUUGUCCCGGUUUAAGCAUGUAGGCGGAGGUUCCAGGUAAAUCCGGUACCUUUUAACGCUGAGGUGUGAUGACGAGGCACUACGGUGCUGAAGUGAUAAAUGCCCUGCUUCCAGGAAAAGCCUCUAAGCAUCAGGUAACACGAAAUCGUACCCCAAACCGACACAGGUGGUCAGGUAGAGAAUACCAAGGCGCUUGAGAGAACUCGGGUGAAGGAACUAGGCAAAAUGGUGCCGUAACUUCGGGAGAAGGCACGCUGAUGUGUAGGUGAAGCCCCUGCGGGUGGAGCUGAAAUCAGUCGAAGAUACCAGCUGGCUGCAACUGUUUAUUAAAAACACAGCACUGUGCAAACACGAAAGUGGACGUAUACGGUGUGACGCCUGCCCGGUGCCGGAAGGUUAAUUGAUGGGGUUAGCGGCAACGCGAAGCUCUUGAUCGAAGCCCCGGUAAACGGCGGCCGUAACUAUAACGGUCCUAAGGUAGCGAAAUUCCUUGUCGGGUAAGUUCCGACCUGCACGAAUGGCGUAAUGAUGGCCAGGCUGUCUCCACCCGAGACUCAGUGAAAUUGAACUCGCUGUGAAGAUGCAGUGUACCCGCGGCAAGACGGAAAGACCCCGUGAACCUUUACUAUAGCUUGACACUGAACACUGGUCCUUGAUGUGUAGGAUAGGUGGGAGGCUUUGAAGCGUGGACGCCAGUCUGCGUGGAGCCAACCUUGAAAUACCACCCUUUAAUGGCUGGUGUUCUAACGUAGACCCGUAAUCCGGGUUGCGGACAGUGUCUGGUGGGUAGUUUGACUGGGGCGGUCUCCUCCCAAAGAGUAACGGAGGAGCACGAAGGUUGGCUAAUCCUGGUCGGACAUCAGGAGGUUAGUGCAAUGGCAUAAGCCAGCUUGACUGCGAGCGUGACGGCGCGAGCAGGUGCGAAAGCAGGUCAUAGUGAUCCGGUGGUUCUGAAUGGAAGGGCCAUCGCUCAACGGAUAAAAGGUACUCCGGGGAUAACAGGCUGAUACCGCCCAAGAGUUCAUAUCGACGGCGGUGUUUGGCACCUCGAUGUCGGCUCAUCACAUCCUGGGGCUGAAGUAGGUCCCAAGGGUAUGGCUGUUCGCCAUUUAAAGUGGUACGCGAGCUGGGUUUAGAACGUCGUGAGACAGUUCGGUCCCUAUCUGCCGUGGGCGCUGGAGAAUUGAGGGGGGCUGCUCCUAGUACGAGAGGACCGGAGUGGACGCAUCACUGGUGUUCGGGUUGUCAUGCCAAUGGCACUGCCCGGUAGCUAAAUGCGGAAGAGAUAAGUGCUGAAAGCAUCUAAGCACGAAACUUGCCCCGAGAUGAGUUCUCCCUGAGACCUUGAGUCUCCUGAAGGAACGUUGAAGACGACGACGUUGAUAGGUCGGGUGUGUAAGCGCAGCGAUGCGUUGAGCUAACCGAUACUAAUGAACCGUGAGGCUUAACC
This 2894-nucleotide ribosomal RNA is filed under the name Enterobacter cloacae. RNAcentral's name for it is "bacterial LSU rRNA". It matches the Rfam family "Bacterial large subunit ribosomal RNA". The record is from RNAcentral. Lineage: Bacteria; Pseudomonadati; Pseudomonadota; Gammaproteobacteria; Enterobacterales; Enterobacteriaceae.